Molecule: long non-coding RNA, 201 nt
Filed under: Populus tremula
Lineage: Eukaryota; Viridiplantae; Streptophyta; Magnoliopsida; Malpighiales; Salicaceae
Description: long non-coding RNA (PTRE_LNC003098)
Source: RNAcentral
GAUUUGUCAAUUUUUUCGGGGUCCCGAGAGUAGUGGGCAGAGACCCACGGAGUCCCUCACCUUUUGAAUUUUCUUCUUCUCCCUGAACCGGCCAAAACACAGCCGAGAGUCCCCUCCAAAGCCAUUUUUUCUUUUCUUCCUCAGCCUCCCGAAGACCCCACCUCCACCAGACCUCCACUUUACCCAUCGCAGCCACCGAAC